GCCGAAGGUGGCGAGCGUUGUUCGGAAUCACUGGGCAUAAAGCGCACGUAGGCGGUGUCGUAAGUCGGAUGUGAAAUCCCUCGGCCUAACCGAGGAACUGCGUCCGAUACUGCGAUGCUUGAGGAUCAGAGGGGUGCAUGGAAUUUCCGGUGGAGCGGUGAAAUGCGUUGAUAUCGGAAGGAACUCCGGCGGCGAAAGCGAUGCACUGGCUGAUUUCUGACGCUGAGGUGCGAAAGCCAGGGGAGCAAACGGG
RNAcentral lists this ribosomal RNA (253 nucleotides) under uncultured bacterium. RNAcentral's name for it is "partial 16S ribosomal RNA". It matches the Rfam family "Bacterial small subunit ribosomal RNA", at positions 524 to 776 of the family's 1533-position model. The record is from RNAcentral.